This is a long non-coding RNA of Daucus carota subsp. sativus, 5569 nucleotides long. RefSeq lists it as uncharacterized. The transcript has 5 exons. NCBI's taxonomy places the organism in Eukaryota, Viridiplantae, Streptophyta, Magnoliopsida, Apiales, Apiaceae. The record is from RefSeq and is a predicted model, not a curated record.
UAUCCCAUAUUAUUAAAUUUAGAUGUGAUUAUUAUAAAUCUAUUUGUCUAGAUAUUAUUGUUGGCUCUAGUUGAAUAUUGAUAUGAUUAUGUGAAUAGUUGUAUGUGAUUAUACUUGUUAUGUGGAUUAAUAUGGAUUUUUCAGAUUAUGCGUCCUCCUUCUUUCUCUGAUUCCGAGGACGGAAUCCCUAUAAGGAGGGUAGAUUGUAAUAACCCGGAUUUUAAAAAUAUUUUUAUUAAUAUUAUAAAUGAUUUUCUUAAAAAGAAGGGAAUAAGAUUUAAUAUUUUAUUCCAGUUUAAUGAGUUUUCAAAGGUUUAUAUUUAAACCCCGGGUUAUUGUGUUAUUGAUAAAUAAUUGUAUUUUUAAAACUGAUUUUCAUAUAUUGUUUCGAAAAUUCUAGAUGAUUAUUAUGUGCAUAUAUGUGUGAUGUGAGUAAGUGGUAUUGGUGGAUUUGUUGGUUAAUUAAUUAUGGUUAAUUAUGAGUAUUAUAUGAUUAAUAAUAUAUGAAUUUUUGUGAAUUUUAUAUUAUCUGGUUUAUUGCGUUAACUGCUCAUAUGUGUUCGUAUUUGAGAGAUUUCAAUUUCCAUAUGCUCAGGAGAAAAUAUAGUUUAUUUGGAUAUUUUCAUAUCGAUUUAUGGAAUGUUAGAUGAUUUUAUAAUCGAUUUACGGAUUUAAUUGUGUAUAUUUAUAUUUAUUUAUUAAUUAUGUGACUUCCGUAAAACCGUCCACUCGUAACGGUGUAGCGAUUUUUCUUCCCGGAAGUUUCGAGAAAACUUACCUUUAGCCUAAUUUCAAUAUUCCGGACAUUUUUCGUGUUUUGACUUUUUCGAUCCGGAGUACGGUUUUCCCCGGAGUCGGUCCGGCGGAGUUUUUCGGGUAUUUUAAUUGUUGAUAAUUAUCCAGUUUGUCUCGAUAAGCGUGAAACGAGAUAUUUUGAUUAUUAUAUUCAUCCUUAUCUUGUAAUAAUUGCAAUGGGACCCGCAGACCAAUAAUUGAGUUAAAAAGCCCCGUUUUGAUGAUUAUCUCGAAAACCGGUACCGAUUGGACCCCGCUUUAUUAAUAUAAAGCUAUUAAAUACGUAUUUUCAUGUCAUAAACGAUCCAAAGGGGUACCAAUUAUUUGUAAAUAUAAAUAGACCUAUCUAGAGCUUAUUCUCACCCGUAAAAUCAUUUCACCAGUUUCUUCUCACGAAUACCGAGAGAAACCGAAGUGUGUUCUUCGUGUUCUUCGUAAUCAAACGAGGAUUUGGAGGUGUUAUUGGAAUCCGAUGGAGGCGUAUGAAUAGUCAAAACGAAGCUAUCGACGCGUAGAAUCAAGCUUAAUCAUCCGUUUAUAUGCAGAUUCAACAGGAUUUGGACGAGACGUGUACGCUCGAAGACGUCAGAAAGUCGGAAUGGUAUUGCAAAGCGAAUAAGGGAUGAUUGAGUAAGCGAAGCGAAGUGGCGAAUAGAGUAUAGCUAGAGAUGGUCUAGAGAUUACGAGAUGCAUAGAUUGUGAAAGUGGAGAGAUGAGAUAGAGAUGUGAGACUGGAGUCAGAUUUAAGAAAGGCUUAAAGAUGAGAUGAUUGAUUGAGAUUGUGAGUAAGGCUAAUGCUAGGCGAGGAGACAGAGUUGAGGAUCCAGUGGUCGAGGAGUGUUCAGGAAAGUUGAUGAGGUUGGUGCAAGCUGGAAUAGUUGACAGUGAUUCUUCUUAUCGAAGAUGAUCUGAUUUGGUAAGAGAUGUUGUGUAAUAUUAGUGGUGGAUUCUAAUUUCAAUACUGUAACCUGGAUGCGAUCCUGUUGCGUUUAGGGGGUUGAAAUGUCUCUUUCGAAUCAUUUAUUAAAGUUUCAAUGUUUUCUUGAAAUUCUCUUAUUAUGGCUUUCAAAUUUGAAAUUCAGGUUCUGAAAUCAUUGGAUUUAUGUUCUCAUUCAAAUCUUUUAUUAAAUGUUUUCAGGUUUUAAAUUCUCUGAUUUGUAUUAUCUUUCCAAAAAGAAAAAAAAAAUACAGGAUUUCAAAAGUGUUUAAAAAUGGGUUUUAUGUGGUGACGUCAGAAUCCAGACCCCCGGAUUCCUGGACUGUCACAGUUGGUAUCAGAGCAACAGGUUAUAAGUAUUUGAAAUUAGAAUAUAGAUCAUAGUUAUAGGUUUUCUAGAGAAGAAUGUGGUGUAACCUCACAUAGAGGUAUGGUCGGACUAUUUAGGAAUAGUCUAGAGAUGUGAGUGAAGCAUAGAGUUUAGUUAGAUGAUCAAGUUAAGUGUGGAUAUCUAAAGAGAUUAGGAUUCUUAAGUUUAGACAUAUGAUUUCUAGUAUGUUGAUUAAUUGAGAUGGUGAAUUGUGAUGAAGGUCAAGGUUAGACCUAGAUAGAAGAGUUUGAUAGUGAAUGAUUGAGUUAAGAAUGGUAAAGAUGCAGAGUUCAGAGUAUUCUGACUAUACUGCAUAGUUGAGAAUGGUCUAUGGUAUUGAUUUGAGAAUAAUAAAGAUGCAUGGUUCAUAGUAUGUUGACCAUGUCAGAUAUUUGGAAGAAGUAUAUUGUUUUUGUGAGAUAUGAAGAGUAAGUGUAAAGUAUGAGUUGUGUUGAAUUAGAAGGAGAGAUUAGUAGAUAGAGGUUGAUAGAUGAGAAGUGCAUGAUAGAGAGUAUGUGGAGUUGAGUCCAGUUAUUAGAGAUGAUGUCUACGAGUAAGUUAGAACGUUAGUCCUCGACGACAACGCUUCGAGCUAAUCGGGAUUUCAAAUGGCAUCAAGGUGGGCCCAUAACCCACAGGUUGACGGGUCAGAAAAUAGAAGAUACGCUACGUGUUGUGCUAUGGAAUUCAAAGGUAACUGGAUGAAACAUGAGAACGUGAACUACUUGGGCCAGAUUUAUUACGAACUAUAACGUCUACGAUGACAUCUUACGAGGCUAUUACGAGUCAACAUCGAUCGAUUAUCGAGAACGUUGAAAAGAGGAUAUAUAUCGAACAAUGAUUUAUUGAAGCAGAGCGAAAAUCUGAGAAGACCUUGGCAAUACCUCUCUUCAACUAAAGAUUCUUUUGAUUGUUUUCUCAUCAGUGAGAUAUUAUCAUGAUAUCUUUUCUACAAAAGUUUUGAUAAAUGAGAUCUUCAAUUUCUCAAAUUCUAAGAUGACAUUGAUAUUGAUUAUUGGUAUGAGUUGGAAAGCAAAGAUGUGUGAUAAAGGUUUGUUGUGAAGAAAUAGUGAUGUUCCUUGAUAUUGUUUGACAUUUCUUGACAUUCCUUGAUACCCUUUCAUCUUCCUUGAUAUCCCUUAGUGUUCUUUGAUAUUGUUGAUAUUCAUUGAUAUUCUCUGAUAUUCCUUAACAUUUCUUCAAUUUGGUUGGGAUGAACAACCCUAUUUAUAGGGGACACAAGGUAUACCUGUCUGUGUGAUAGGAGUUGGAUGGGACGCCAUCACUUGUGUGUGUUGUGAUUACAAGAAGGUUAACAACCUUUAGUAGUGUCUAAUGUGGACACGCAACACCAAGUUCGUUGAUCAUAUAGAUCUCUCAGUCACUCCUUUAUUCAAAUGUGAUCUACCUUGAAAACAUUUUGUUCUAUUCAAAAUUCCACAAGAUUGAUUCUUGGGAAAUGAAUUUUGCAAUUGUAAAAGUUUGAUUUUCCUUUUUCAUUAAAGUUAAAGGUAUGCCAAGAUCAACCAAAGGUGAAUGACGAUAUGAUAUUACGAAGCGUGUACGUUUUAGUUUCUUCGGAGGAUUCCGAGGACGGAAUCCUUAUAAGGGGGGUAGAAUGUAAUAUCCCAUAUUAUUAAAUUUAGAUGUGAUUAUUAUAAAUCUAUUUGUCUAGAUAUUAUUGUUGGCUCUAGUUGAAUAUUGAUAUGAUUAUGUGAAUAGUUGUAUGUGAUUAUACUUGUUAUGUGGAUUAAUAUGGAUUUUUCAGAUUAUGCGUCCUCCUUCUUUCUCUGAUUCCGAGGACGGAAUCCCUAUAAGGAGGGUAGAUUGUAAUAACCCGGAUUUUAAAAAUAUUUUUAUUAAUAUUAUAAAUGAUUUUCUUAAAAAGAAGGGAAUAAGAUUUAAUAUUUUAUUCCAGUUUAAUGAGUUUUCAAAGGUUUAUAUUUAAACCCCGGGUUAUUGUGUUAUUGAUAAAUAAUUGUAUUUUUAAAACUGAUUUUCAUAUAUUGUUUCGAAAAUUCUAGAUGAUUAUUAUGUGCAUAUAUGUGUGAUGUGAGUAAGUGGUAUUGGUGGAUUUGUUGGUUAAUUAAUUAUGGUUAAUUAUGAGUAUUAUAUGAUUAAUAAUAUAUGAAUUUUUGUGAAUUUUAUAUUAUCUGGUUUAUUGCGUUAACUGCUCAUAUGUGUUCGUAUUUGAGAGAUUUCAAUUUCCAUAUGCUCAGGAGAAAAUAUAGUUUAUUUGGAUAUUUUCAUAUCGAUUUAUGGAAUGUUAGAUGAUUUUAUAAUCGAUUUACGGAUUUAAUUGUGUAUAUUUAUAUUUAUUUAUUAAUUAUGUGACUUCCGUAAAACCGUCCACUCGUAACGGUGUAGCGAUUUUUCUUCCCGGAAGUUUCGAGAAAACUUACCUUUAGCCUAAUUUCAAUAUUCCGGACAUUUUUCGUGUUUUGACUUUUUCGAUCCGGAGUACGGUUUUCCCCGGAGUCGGUCCGGCGGAGUUUUUCGGGUAUUUUAAUUGUUGAUAAUUAUCCAGUUUGUCUCGAUAAGCGUGAAACGAGAUAUUUUGAUUAUUAUAUUCAUCCUUAUCUUGUAAUAAUUGCAAUGGGACCCGCAGACCAAUAAUUGAGUUAAAAAGCCCCGUUUUGAUGAUUAUCUCGAAAACCGGUACCGAUUGGACCCCGCUUUAUUAAUAUAAAGCUAUUAAAUACGUAUUUUCAUGUCAUAAACGAUCCAAAGGGGUACCAAUUAUUUGUAAAUAUAAAUAGACCUUUCUAGAGCUUAUUCUCACCCGUAAAAUCAUUUCACCAGUUUCUUCUCACGAAUACCGAGAGAAACCGAAGUGUGUUCUUCGUGUUCUUCGUAAUCAAACGAGGAUUUGGAGGUGUUAUUGGAAUCCGAUGGAGGCGUAUGAAUAGUCAAAACGAAGCUAUCGACGCGUAGAAUCAAGCUUAAUCAUCCGUUUAUAUGCAGAUUCAACAGGAUUUGGACGAGACGUGUACGCUCGAAGACGUCAGAAAGUCGGAAUGGUAUUGCAAAGCGAAUAAGGGAUGAUUGAGUAAGCGAAGCGAAGUGGCGAAUAGAGUAUAGCUAGAGAUGGUCUAGAGAUUACGAGAUGCAUAGAUUGUGAAAGUGGAGAGAUGAGAUAGAGAUGUGAGACUGGAGUCAGAUUUAAGAAAGGCUUAAAGAUGAGAUGAUUGAUUGAGAUUGUGAGUAAGGCUAAUGCUAGGCGAGGAGACAGAGUUGAGGAUCCAGUGGUCGAGGAGUGUUCAGGAAAGUUGAUGAGGUUGGUGCAAGCUGGAAUAGUUGACAGUGAUUCUUCUUAUCGAAGAUGAUCUGAUUUGGUAAGAGAUGUUGUGUAAUAUUAGUGGUGGAUUCUAAUUUCAAUACUGUAACCUGGAUGCGAUCCUGUUGCGUUUAGGGGGUUGAAAUGUCUCUUUCGAAUCAUUUAUUAAAGUUUCAAUGUUUUCUUGAAA